AAUAGAUACCCCGGUAGUCCACGCCGUAAACGAUGAGUGCUAAGUGUUAGAGGGUUUCCGCCCUUUAGUGCUGCAGCAAACGCAUUAAGCACUCCGCCUGGGGAGUACGGCCGCAAGGCUGAAACUCAAAGGAAUUGACGGGGGCCCGCACAAGCGGUGGAGCAUGUGGUUUAAUUCGAAGCAACGCGAAGAACCUUACCAGGUCUUGACAUCCUCUGCCACUCCUAGAGAUAGGAUUUUCCCCUUCGGGGGACAGAGUGACAGGUGGUGCAUGGUCGUCGUCAGCUCGUGUCGUGAGAUGUUGGGUUAAGUCCCGCAACGAGCGCAACCCUUGAUCUUAGUUGCCAGCAUUCAGUUGGGCACUCUAAGGUGACUGCCGGUGACAAACCGGAGGAAGGUGGGGAUGACGUCAAAUCAUCAUGCCCCUUAUGACCUGGGCUACACACGUGCUACAAUGGAUGGUACAAAGGGUCGCAAAACCGCGAGGUCGAGCCAAUCCCACAAAACCAUUCUCAGUUCGGAUUGCAGGCUG
This 532-nucleotide ribosomal RNA is filed under the name uncultured bacterium. RNAcentral's name for it is "bacterial SSU rRNA". It matches the Rfam family "Bacterial small subunit ribosomal RNA", at positions 777 to 1307 of the family's 1533-position model. The record is from RNAcentral.